RNAcentral lists this small nuclear RNA (310 nucleotides) under Chinchilla lanigera (long-tailed chinchilla). RNAcentral describes it as "7SK RNA (ENSCLAG00000021848.1)". It matches the Rfam family "7SK RNA". From Rfam's summary of the family: 7SK was discovered as an abundant small nuclear RNA in the mid-70s but a possible function has only recently been suggested. The record is from RNAcentral. Lineage: Eukaryota; Metazoa; Chordata; Mammalia; Rodentia; Chinchillidae.
GGACGUGAGGGCUAUCUCUGGCUGUGACAUCUGUCACCCCUUUGAUCACCAGAGUUGAAUCAGCUGAUCUGGCUGGCUAGGCAGUGUCUCCUUCCUCCCUCUCUGCUCCAUGUGCCUCUCUCCUGAAGCUGCGCGCUUCUUUGAAGAGGACAACCACGCCAGAGAGGGGAGGACCAGUCAAGGGUAUACAAGUGGCUGUGCUCACUUGCUAGAAUCUCCAAAUAGAUUAUUACAUAUCAAUGUAUGCUGUAAUCUAUAAACUUAAUAUCGAUUAUUUAUACAGCUCUCAUGAUAUACAAUGUGUUUUUCU